GGCUAGGACAAUGGCGGGCUAGUGAAUUGUGUCAGAUCCGGAAGGAAGCAGCACUAAGCAAGUACCGCCAUGUGUCUGAUUGAAU
Molecule: signal recognition particle RNA, 85 nt
Filed under: Enterococcus faecalis
Lineage: Bacteria; Bacillati; Bacillota; Bacilli; Lactobacillales; Enterococcaceae
Description: signal recognition particle sRNA small type
Rfam family: Bacterial small signal recognition particle RNA
About the family: The signal recognition particle (SRP) is a universally conserved ribonucleoprotein involved in the co-translational targeting of proteins to membranes. Archaeal SRP consists of a 7S RNA and homologues of the eukaryotic SRP19 and SRP54 proteins. In most bacteria, the SRP consists of a 4.5S RNA and the Ffh protein (a homologue of the eukaryotic SRP54 protein).
Source: RNAcentral